RNAcentral lists this ribosomal RNA (652 nucleotides) under uncultured bacterium. RNAcentral's name for it is "bacterial SSU rRNA". It matches the Rfam family "Bacterial small subunit ribosomal RNA", at positions 71 to 749 of the family's 1533-position model. The record is from RNAcentral.
CCUAGCUUGCUAAGCUUGUUUUUAGUGGCGCACGGGUGAGUAACACGUGAGUUACCUGCCCCCAAGAGUGGGAUAGCCCCGGGAAACUGGGAUUAAUACCGCAUAAUAUCGCAAGAUUAAAGGUGCAAACCGCUUGGGGAUGGGCUCGCGGCCUAUUAGUUAGUUGGUGAGGUAACGGCUCACCAAGGCGAUGACGGGUAGCCGGUCUGAGAGGAUGUCCGGCCACACUGGAACUGAGACACGGUCCAGACACCUACGGGUGGCAGCAGUCGAGAAUCAUUCACAAUGGGGGAAACCCUGAUGGUGCGACGCCGCGUGGGGGAGCGAAGGUCUUCGGAUUGUAAACCCCUGUCAAGUGGGAGCAAAUUAAAAAGAUAGUACCACUAGAGGAAGAGACGGCUAACUCUGUGCCAGCAGCCGCGGUAAUACAGAGGUCUCAAGCGUUGUUCGGAAUCACUGGGCGUAAAGCGUACGUAGGCGGCUUGGUAAGUCGUGUGUGAAAGGCAGGGGCUCAACCUCUGGACUGCACAUGAUACUGCCAGGCUAGAGUAAUGGAGGGGAAACCGGAAUUCUCGGUGUAGCAGUGAAAUGCGUAGAUAUCGAGAGGAACACUCGUGGCGAAGGCGGGUUUCUGGACAUUAACUGACGCUGA